AGAGUUUGAUCAUGGCUCAGGGUGAACGCUGGCGGCAUGCCUAACACAUGCAAGUCGAACGGUAACAGGCCCGCAAGGGUGCUGACGAGUGGCGGACGGGUGAGGAAUACAUCGGAAUUUGCCCAGUCGUGGGGGAUAACGUAGGGAAACUUACGCUAAUACCGCAUACGACCUUACGGUGAAAGCGGGGGAUCAGCAAUGACCUCGCGCGGAUGGAUAAGCCGAUGUCGGAUUAGCUAGUUGGCGGGGUAAGAGCCCACCAAGGCGACGAUCCGUAGCUGGUCUGAGAGGAUGAUCAGCCACACUGGGACUGAGACACGGCCCAGACUCCUACGGGAGGCAGCAGUGGGGAAUAUUGGACAAUGGGGGCAACCCUGAUCCAGCAAUGCCGCGUGUGUGAAGAAGGCCUUCGGGUUGUAAAGCACUUUUAUCCGGAACGAAACGCGCAGGGUGAAUAUCCUUGCGAACUGACGGUACCGGAGGAAUAAGCACCGGCUAACUUCGUGCCAGCAGCCGCGGUAAUACGAAGGGUGCAAGCGUUACUCGGAAUUACUGGGCGUAAAGGGUGCGUAGGUGGUUUUUUAAGUCCGUUGUGAAAUCCCUGGGCUCAACCUGGGAAUGGCAGUGGAUACUGGAAAGCUAGAGUGCGGUAGAGGGUAGUGGAAUUCCCGGUGUAGCAGUGAAAUGCGUAGAGAUCGGGAGGAACACCAGUGGCGAAGGCGGCUACCUGGACCAGCACUGACACUGAGGCACGAAAGCGUGGAGGCAAACAGGAUUAGAUACCCCCGUAGUCC
RNAcentral lists this ribosomal RNA (794 nucleotides) under uncultured bacterium. RNAcentral describes it as "bacterial SSU rRNA". It matches the Rfam family "Bacterial small subunit ribosomal RNA", at positions 8 to 796 of the family's 1533-position model. The record is from RNAcentral.